UAGCUCAGGGGUAGAGCAGUGGAUUGAAAAUCCUCGUGUCGGUGGUUCGAUUCCGCC
Molecule: transfer RNA, 57 nt
Filed under: Sulfitobacter pontiacus
Lineage: Bacteria; Pseudomonadati; Pseudomonadota; Alphaproteobacteria; Rhodobacterales; Roseobacteraceae
Also listed under: 1 other name
Description: tRNA-Phe
Rfam family: tRNA
About the family: Transfer RNA (tRNA) molecules are approximately 80 nucleotides in length.
Source: RNAcentral